This 2053-nucleotide long non-coding RNA is filed under the name Fragaria vesca (wild strawberry). Its description in RNAcentral is "long non-coding RNA (FVES_LNC001006)". Lineage: Eukaryota; Viridiplantae; Streptophyta; Magnoliopsida; Rosales; Rosaceae. The record is from RNAcentral.
CAAAACCCAUAACUAGGUUUAUUUUAAAAAGAGUUAGAUGUUUGAAGGCCUACCACUCGCACAGUAACUCAACAUUGUAAAGAGUAUCCUAAACUUCAUAUUGGCAUGUUUAAAGCAUCACUGCUUCGGUAUUAGUUUAGUACUAAUCAUGUACCGGAUUAACUAGUAAUCUAGUUGUUUAUUAGAUAUAUUGCAUUGGGUAGACGUAGACUCACUACUACGUACACGGUUCACACACGGUAGGAACGAUCCUUCGAUCAAUUAUUGGUGUGUCUAUACAUAUAAUAUAUAUAUAUAUAGAUUUCUAAGCUGCGGACGUCCGCACCGAUUUUUUGGUGCGGAUUUUUAUUUUUGCAUCAAUUCCCGAUCGAAUUUCUUCAAACUUCCUUCUAGACAUAUCUAGAUCAUCUUGUGUAGAUCAUCUCUGCAAAAUUUCAGCCAAUUUGGUGAUCGUUAAGGCCCUCAAAAUCGAAAAACAAAUCUGACGGACUGAAUUCUGUCCGGUUCAGGUAUAUAACAGAAAAAUGCAAGUUUGAGGGCUUUAACGAUCACCAAAUUGGCUNNNNNNNNNNNNNNNNNNNNAAGUUUGAGGAAAUUCGUCCGCACCAAAGUUUUUGGUGCGGAUUUCCAUUUUUGCACCACUUCCCGACGAAUUUCCUCAAACUUCCUUCUAGACACAUCUAGAUCAUCUUGUGUAGAUCAUCUCUACAAAAUUUCAGCCAAUUUGGUGAUCGUUAAGGCCCUCAAACUUGCGUUUUUAUGUUAUAUACCUGAACCAGACAGAAUUCAGUUCGUCAGUAUUUUGUUUUUCGAUUUUGUGGGCCUUAACAAUCACUAAAUUGGCUGAAAUUUUGCAGAGAUGAUCUACACAAGAUGAUCUAGAUAUGUCUAGAAGGAAGUUUGAGGAAAUUCGAUCGGGAAGUGGUGUAAAAUAGAUAUAUAUAUAUAUAUAUAUAUAUAUGUGAUCUGUGUGGGAAUUUAGACAUAUUAACAACUAGUGAGCUCUUUCCAGGUAGGCAAAUUAAAAGAGAAAAUGUUUGUAUCAAAGAAUGGAAAAGAACACCAUAAAGCAACACAUGAAAUGAUAUAUAUGUAGACCUUUAAGGUUGUUGAGAUAUCAAUCUCACAUCGGGAAUAUGAGAACUUGUCUGUGGGUUUAUAAGGGUUUGGGUCACUCCACCAAUUGCCAAUUGGUUUUAGAUAUGAACUCUAGACUACUUUAUCAUGGUAUCAGAGCGGGUUACUUAUGUCCACAUGUGAAGCCCAAUGACCACACAAACUUCAUGUCACCCAAAUGUGUUGUCCACGUAUUAGGCUUGAAAAUUCGCCACACAUGCGGGGCGUGUUGAGAUAUCAAUCCCACAUCGGGAAUAUGAGACAUUACAUGUGGGUUUAUAAGGGUUUGGGUCACUUCACCCAUUGUCAAUUGAUUUUGAAUGUGAACUUCAGACUACUUUAUCAAAGGUUCUAUAAAAACCAUUCAUUUUAUGAGCUUUCAAUAUGUAGAACAAGAUCGAACACUAUGAGCGUGAUGAGGGAGGCUGCCUUCACAAAUUCUAGAGUAAUGGACGAUCCAGAAAAUGGGAAUGGUGACCCAUACAAAGACUUCAAGCAUAUCAAACUCCCAACUGUUCUGGGUAGGGCUUAUUUCUAAUGGAGAGUGACAUGAAGGACCAUAAUGUGUUACAAAAUUAGUGGACGUAAAUUGGUACUCUUAUUUGAGAAAGGAGCAAAGCAUUUCCCCAGUUGUUGAUUAAGCAGCUAGUGUUUAAUUAGUGACUAAAAUGAUCACUCAAGUCAUGUUGAAAGUCUUGUACAUGACAACCGAUGAUGGGUACAAUUAGGGCGAGCACGGCCGUGAAGGAUAAUUGGUGUUUACUUAAAGUGCAUCAAAUCAAAUGGGAUCUCGAUUUCACAAUUUGAUGAAGAUGUCAUAAUGAGAUUAGGAAUAAAUCUCCUUUUUUAACUUAUCUUAAUUAGUUAAUGAGCUUUUUCCCUACAUUUGCUAGCUAGUUGUGUGACACAAGCGGGCAUGGCAUCCAAGUAUUAUGAG